AUUGUAUCCACGAUUGGGGAAUUUUCCGCAAUGGGCGCAAGCCUGACGGAGCAAUACCGCGUGAGGGAGGAAGGCUCUUGGGUCGUAAACCUCUUUUCUCAGGGAAGAAUAAAUGACGGUACCUGAGGAAUCAGCAUCGGCUAACUCCGUGCCAGCAGCCGCGGUAAUACGGAGGAUGCAAGCGUUAUCCGGAAUGAUUGGGCGUAAAGCGUCCGCAGGUGGCAGUGUAAGUCUGCUGUCAAAGGUCAGGGCUCAACCCUGAACAGGCAGUGGAAACUACACAGCUAGAGUGCGGUGGGGGCAGAGGGAAUUCCCAGUGUAGCGGUGAAAUGCGUAGAGAUUGGGAAGAACACCGGUGGCGAAAGCGCUCUGCUAGGCCGCAACUGACACUCAUGGACGAAAGCUAGGGGAGCGAAUGGGAUUAGAUACCCCAGUAGUCAAUCGUGGAUACAAU
RNAcentral lists this ribosomal RNA (454 nucleotides) under uncultured cyanobacterium. Its description in RNAcentral is "bacterial SSU rRNA". It matches the Rfam family "Bacterial small subunit ribosomal RNA", at positions 341 to 810 of the family's 1533-position model. Lineage: Bacteria; Bacillati; Cyanobacteriota. The record is from RNAcentral.